GUGAAAUUGUUGAAAGGGAAGCGCUUGCAACCAGACCUGCCUGCAGUUGCUCAUCCGUGGCUUUUGCCCGGUGCACUCUUCUGCUGUCAGGCCAGCAUCAGUUCGGGCGGUCGGAUAAAGGCUUCGGGAAUGUAGCUCCUCUCGGGGAGUGUUAUAGCCCGUUGCGAAAUGCGGCCAGCCUGGACUGAGGUCCGCGCUUCGGCUAGGAUGCUGGCGUAAUGGUUGUAAGCGGCCCGUCUUGAAACACGGACCAAGGAGUCUAACAUCUGUGCGAGUGUUUGGGUGUUAAACCCGUACGCGUAAUGAAAGUGAACGGAGGCGGGAACCCCUCGGGGUGCACCGUCGACCGAUCCUGAUGUCUUCGGAUGGAUUUGAGUAAGAGCAUAGCUGUUGGGACCCGAAAGAUGGUGAACUAUGCCUGAAUAGGGUGAAGCCAGAGGAAACUCUGGUGGAGGCUCGCAGCGGUUCUGACGUGCAAAUCGAUCGUCAAAUUUGGGCAUAGGGGCGAAAGACUAAUCGAACUAUCUAGUAGCUGGUUCCUGCCGAAGUUUCCCUCAGGAUAGCAGUAACGUUUUCAGUUUUAUGAGGUAAAGCGAAUGAUUAGAGGCCUGGGGGUUGAAACAACCUUCACCUAUUCUCAAACUUUAAAUAUGUAAGAAGUCCUUGUUGCUCAGUUGAACGUGGACAUUUGAAUGUAUCGUCAC
RNAcentral lists this ribosomal RNA (704 nucleotides) under uncultured Ascomycota. RNAcentral's name for it is "LSU rRNA". It matches the Rfam family "Eukaryotic large subunit ribosomal RNA", at positions 399 to 1123 of the family's 3401-position model. Lineage: Eukaryota; Fungi; Ascomycota. The record is from RNAcentral.